This 64-nucleotide transfer RNA is filed under the name Triatoma dimidiata (kissing bug). Its description in RNAcentral is "tRNA-Ile". The record is from RNAcentral. Lineage: Eukaryota; Metazoa; Arthropoda; Insecta; Hemiptera; Reduviidae.
AAUAAGGUGCCUGAUAAAAGGGCUAUCUUGAUAGGAUAGAUUAUGUAUUAAUAUACCCUUAUUA